AGAUUGAACGCUGGCGGCAGGCCUAACACAUGCAAGUCGAGCGGUAGAGAGGUGCUUGCAUCUCUUGAGAGCGGCGGACGGGUGAGUAAUGCCUAGGAAUCUGCCUAGUGGUGGGGGAUAACGUUCGGAAACGGACGACUAAUACCGCAUACGUCCUACGGGAGAAAGCGGGGGACCUUCGGGCCUCGCGCCAUUAGAUGAGCCUAGGUCGGAUUAGCUAGUUGGUGAGGUAAUGGCUCACCAAGGCGACGAUCCGGUAACUGGUCUGGGAGAUGAUCAGUCACACUGGAACUGAGACCACGGUCCAGACCUCCGUACGGGAGCAGCAGGUGGGAAUAGUGGAACAAGUGGGACGAAAGCCUAGA
RNAcentral lists this ribosomal RNA (365 nucleotides) under uncultured soil bacterium. RNAcentral describes it as "bacterial SSU rRNA". It matches the Rfam family "Bacterial small subunit ribosomal RNA", at positions 26 to 386 of the family's 1533-position model. The record is from RNAcentral.